CCUACGGGGGGCUGCAGUUUCGAAUCAUUCACAAUGGGCGAAAGCCUGAUGGUGCGACGCCGCGUGAGGGAUGAAGGCCUUCGGGUUGUAAACCUCUGUCACUGGGGAAGAAACGCUUCAAGUUAAUAGCUUGCAGCCUGACUUAACCCAGAGAGGAAGCAGUGGCUAACUCUGUGCCAGCAGCCGCGGUAAUACAGAGGCUGCAAGCGUUAUUCGGGUUCACUCGGCGUGACGUGUGCGCAAGCGACCAAAGCCCGGGGCUUAACCUCGGAAUUGCGCCUAAAACUACACGGCUAGAGCAGUGGAGAGGGUAGCGGAAUUCACGGUGUAGCAGUGAAAUGCGUAGAUAUCGUGAGGAACACCAGAGGCGAAGGCGGCUACCUGGACAAUUGCUGACGCUCAGGCACGAAAGCGUGGGGAGCAAAAGGGAUUAGAUACCCUUGUAGUC
RNAcentral lists this ribosomal RNA (448 nucleotides) under uncultured bacterium. RNAcentral's name for it is "partial 16S ribosomal RNA". It matches the Rfam family "Bacterial small subunit ribosomal RNA", at positions 338 to 795 of the family's 1533-position model. The record is from RNAcentral.